RNAcentral lists this long non-coding RNA (315 nucleotides) under Mytilus galloprovincialis (Mediterranean mussel). Lineage: Eukaryota; Metazoa; Mollusca; Bivalvia; Mytilida; Mytilidae. The record is from RNAcentral.
AACCUACAAACCAAACGUCGUCAUAUUCAUUUAAAACAACUAAUAUACUUUGUGCGACUCAAUUAUCAAAUGUAUAUAAAUAAGCUCGCAAUAUUAAUGUUCCUAUUAUCCAUUUGAAUUUAAGUAAAUUCUUUUUUUUGUCAAAUAAUUUUUGAUUUUCUUCUGAUAUAGGGCGUGAAUUGCCUACUUCUGAAUGUCUUUAAACAUUUUACAUUUUUUUAGACUGCAUAUGCAAGUGCUAUUAAACCAUAUUUUCUGCUCAAGUUGACUGUUAUAUCUUGCUCAUUGAAUAUUAAAUAUGUGAAAGAAAAUGUA